Molecule: ribosomal RNA, 544 nt
Filed under: uncultured bacterium
Lineage: Bacteria
Description: bacterial SSU rRNA
Rfam family: Bacterial small subunit ribosomal RNA
Source: RNAcentral
UUCUUCCGCAAUGGACGAAAGUCUGACGGAGCAACGCCGCGUGAGUGAAGAAGGUUUUCGGAUUGUAAAACUCUGUCAUUUGGGACGAACGUGCUUUAGUUUAAGAGAUGGAAGCAAUGACGGUACCAAAGAAGGAAGCCACGGCUAACUACGUGCCAGCAGCCGCGGUAAUACGUAGGUGGCGAGCGUUGUCCGGAAUUAUUGGGCGUAAAGGGCGUGUAGGCGGGUUAUUAAGUCUUAAGUAUAAAUGCGGGGCUUAACUUCGUAUUGCUUAAGAAACUGGUAGUCUUGAGUUAAGGAGAGGAAAGUGGAAUUCCCAGUGUAGCGGUGAAAUGCGUAGAGAUUGGGAGGAACACCAGUGGCGAAGGCGACUUUCUGGACUUAAACUGACGCUGAGGCGCGAAAGCCAGGGGAGCGAACGGGAUUAGAUACCCCGGUAGUCCUGGCCGUAAACGAUGGGUACUAGGUGUAGGAGGUAUCGACCCCUUCUGUGCCGGAGUUAACGCAAUAAGUACCCCGCCUGGGGAGUACGGCCGCAAGGUUG